UUGUCACAUGACACCAUACAAUUAUUUUAAAAUUGAUAAUAUAAUUUAGAUUUUCAUAUAAACUUAUUAUAUGGAUCAUUUACUUAUUUAAAAAAAAUAAUGGUUUAAUUGCAGUUCUUCUGUUUUAUCAAUUUAUAAAAUUGAUUCUUUAUUUUAAAAUUCGAUAGUUUUGAUCUUUCAUUUUGAUUUUUAAACUAAAAAAUUAUACUGUGAUAUGUUUUAAAUAAUAUGACAUAUGAUACAAUAAUGUAGAAUAAUUAACAUCAUAUAUCGCAAUAAAAUCUUAUUAAAACUUAAUUUUCAACUUCAAUUUUUAUUUUAUUUUAUAAUUAAUUAAUAAAUAUAAAUAAUUAAUACAUCUACAUAAUAUUAUAUUAUAAAAUCGUAUGUCAAUUCAUUUAAAGUAUAUCAAAUUAUUAUUUUUUAAUUUAAAAAUUUAAAUAAAAAAUAAAAAUAUUAAUUUUUUAAAUAAGAAGUAAAUUCCGUAACAAUAAAAAAUAAAAGAAACAAAAUUAAAAUCUAACGUAAGGAACAUACCCUGCUAUGAGUAUGUUGAGCAUGACGGUGGCUCCCACCGCAAUUCCCGCAAGUUCUCCCACCUGCAUCAUGUUGAACACUCCAGAUUAAUUAAUGUCAAAAAGUUUCAUACAAAAAAAUUUAAUGUCAAAAAAGAAAUCACAAGUCGAUUCAUCUGUUACACUAGUGCAUCACCUACUAAUAUAUAGUUGACCUAAUUUUGAAAAAAAAAAUUAUGUUAAUUAAAAUGUUAUUUAUUAUCUAAUUUUCUAUAAAUAAUAAUAGUUAUAUUUUUUAGAAAAUAAUAAUAAUAAUUGCAGUCUCCAAAUUGUAAUAUAUCAAACUAAUUUUACAAAUAUAAACUAGCUUAUUUAAAAUAAUAAAAUAUUGUAAAUUCAUUAAAGAUCAUUUUAAAAAUAAUAUCAUUAACUAGGUAGAAUUUCAAAAAAUAAUCUCCAAUUUAGAAUUUCUUUUUAUUUAUACAUGAGAGAUAUAAUAUGUAUUUCUUCUACCCAAGUAAUUAUUUGAUGCAAACAAGCAAGAUUCCAAAUCCACUUGUCUUUAAUUAACUAGUACAAGUACAGAGAGGGUAGAGACAAUUAUCUCACUGCAAAACAUGCAUGUUCAUGUAUACAGUAAUGGUUAAACCAUCACCAUUUUAAUCCUUUCAAAUUUCACUUUUAUUUUUUU
RNAcentral lists this long non-coding RNA (1206 nucleotides) under Cicer arietinum (chickpea). Its description in RNAcentral is "long non-coding RNA (CARI_LNC003709)". The record is from RNAcentral. Lineage: Eukaryota; Viridiplantae; Streptophyta; Magnoliopsida; Fabales; Fabaceae.